This 466-nucleotide ribosomal RNA is filed under the name uncultured bacterium. RNAcentral describes it as "partial 16S ribosomal RNA". It matches the Rfam family "Bacterial small subunit ribosomal RNA", at positions 29 to 507 of the family's 1533-position model. The record is from RNAcentral.
AUGAACGCUGACAGAAUGCUUAACACAUGCAAGUCAACUUGAAUUUGGGUUUUUAACUUAGGUUUGGGUGGCGGACGGGUGAGUAACGCGUAAAGAACUUGCCUCACAGCUAGGGACAACAUUUGGAAACGAAUGCUAAUACCUAAUAUUAUGAUAAUAGGGCAUCCUAUAAUUAUGAAAGCUAUAAGCGCUGUGAGAGAGCUUUGCGUCCCAUUAGCUAGUUGGAGAGGUAACGGCUCACCAAGGCGAUGAUGGGUAGCCGGCCUGAGAGGGUGAUCGGCCACAAGGGGACUGAGACACGGCCCUUACUCCUACGGGAGGCAGCAGUGGGGAAUAUUGGACAAUGGACCGAGAGUCUGAUCCAGCAAUUCUGUGUGCACGAUGAAGUUUUUCGGAAUGUAAAGUGCUUUCAGUUGGGAAGAAACAAAUGACGGUACCAACAGAAGAAGUGACGGCUAAAUACGUG